RNAcentral lists this ribosomal RNA (490 nucleotides) under uncultured bacterium. RNAcentral describes it as "partial 16S ribosomal RNA". It matches the Rfam family "Bacterial small subunit ribosomal RNA", at positions 30 to 507 of the family's 1533-position model. The record is from RNAcentral.
AUUGAACGCUGGCGGCAUGCCUAACACAUGCAAGUCGAACGGUAACAGGAAGAAGCUUGCUUCUUUGCUGACGAGUGGCGGACGGGUGAGUAAUGUCUGGGAAACUGCCUGAUGGAGGGGGAUAACUACUGGAAACGGUAGCCAAUACCGCAUAACGUCGCAAGACCAAAGAGGGGGACCUUCGGGCCUCUUGCCAUCGGAUGUGCCCAGAUGGGAUUAGCUAGUAGGUGGGGUAACGGCUCACCUAGGCGACGAUCCCUAGCUGGUCUGAGAGGAUGACCAGCCACACUGGAACUGAGACACGGUCCAGACUCCUACGGGAGGCAGCAGUGGGGAAUAUUGCACAAUGGGCGAAAGCCUGAUGCAGCCAUGCCGCGUGUAUGAAGAAGGCCUUCGGGUUGUAAAGUACUUUUAGCGGGGAGGAAGGGAGUAAAGUUAAUACCUUUGCUUAUUGACGUUACCCGAAGAAGAAGCACCGGCUAACUCCGUG